RNAcentral lists this transfer RNA (73 nucleotides) under Schistosoma japonicum. RNAcentral's name for it is "tRNA-Glu". The record is from RNAcentral. Lineage: Eukaryota; Metazoa; Platyhelminthes; Trematoda; Strigeidida; Schistosomatidae.
GAAUUGGUAGGCUACUGACUAAGGCAUUAGGCUUUCAAUUAGUAGGUCACAGGUUCGAAUCCUGUCCUACUCC